This is a long non-coding RNA of Mustela lutreola (European mink), 3009 nucleotides long. RefSeq lists it as uncharacterized. The transcript has 2 exons. NCBI's taxonomy places the organism in Eukaryota, Metazoa, Chordata, Mammalia, Carnivora, Mustelidae. The record is from RefSeq and is a predicted model, not a curated record.
CCUUAAAUCGCAAAGAGCUCACGAAUAUGCUUUCAGAAUAAUGAAGAAAAAGGGAGCUACAGACGCUGGAACUCUGCACUUUGCCAGGCUUGGGAAAGGAGGAUGAGAGAGCGGGAGGUUAUCAACUCCUGAAAGGAAGGAAAAUGAGUUGAGUUUACAGGUGCCGACUGGAGCCAAAAAGGGGAAAACGGCAGCACGGGGAGCUGGCCCCAGCCUGAGAAGCAGCAAUGGGCUACCACAGGCAGGACCCAUCACCAACUCCCGAGUUCUGCAACAAGACAUGCAGAGGCAGACACAGACGCCCACAAUAUGAGGCAGGAAAUGGGCCAGGUUAGGAUUCAAGCUACUCUGAAAGACCCGAGGAGGUGGAAGCCACAUGAAUUGGGAUGGGCCAGGAGAGGCACCAAGACAGGGUGGCAUAUGGGAGCCUGAGUGGAAUUCAAUCCACCUGGGGAAUGAAGGCCCUUCUAGGGAAGGAGAAGCAGCAUGAGCAAAGGUAAGGAGCCAGCCAGCAGGAAAGAACUCAGAUUCGGGUGAUUAUUAGCUGUGUGACCUGGGGUGAGAAAACUUACCCAACUUUCUGGGGCUUUGGUUUCCUCAUCUGGAAAAUGAAAUGACUAAUAACCACCUUCCAGGCUUGCUGUGAAGAUUCCUUUGGAUAGUCUGUAUGGAGUCUACCACAGUGCCUGGUAUGGUAUAGAUGCUGUAAAUGGCACACUAUCAGCCCCUUCCUUGACUAGGAAGACUUGGAGAGAAUCGUUGGCCUGCCUUCCUUUUGCCUUCCUGCUUUUUGGGUUUUCUGCCUAUCUGAACUCCGAGUACUUGAGCUCUCUCAAGGUAAGAUCUGUGUCUGUGCCCUUGUGACUGCCUUCCGAUUCCCUGAGGGCAGGCCCCACAGUAGGGGCACCUUUGUGGAAAGAAGAAGUAAAUGAACGUGUCCCGCCUAUUCGGUCUCCUACCGCUCUACCACCACUUAGGGGUUCAUGAAGUCACACGGGGUGGCGUGCCCUCCCCUUUCGUCUACCGGCAAAUUCUCUCCAUCCUUCAGAAUUCAGCUCAUGGUUUCGUGAGGUCCUUCAUUCAAGACAGAAUUGGAUAGGACCGACACUUUCUCCUAAGUGCCCCCAUGUAACUUUCCACAAAACUCUACCAUAACGAACACCCCACUCAACAGCUUAUGACUGCUUGCUUUUCCCUUUGCUCCCUCAGCCCUCCAAGCCAGGUCCUACAAGCCUUGUUGGCUACGUGGUGUCAACGAGACGUGUUCUUACGCGAGGACAGAACCUGAGGAGGUUGCAGAACAUCUCUCCAUGAGUUGGGACUCCUGUGCCCUCUUUCAUUUGUUUGCUUAUGGUUCUAUCCUAAGGAAAAAUGGCUAUGUUUACAUAGUUACAGAACAAUUGGAAGUCUGAUGUAUGGCUAAUUCCAUAUAGUAGGAAGUUUCUCAGAUAAUUUAAUUUCUUUCCUUCCCUGAGACAAGGACUUUAAAUUGUUGCAUGGGGUAAACAGCGCAUUAUAACCCAGGGGGAUGGUGUGAUGUGUCUCCCACAUGAGGUCUUACUCAUCUCUGUGCUUUUGGAACCUCGCACGGGGACUCACUCAGUGCUUUGCACAUGAGAUGUCAAUAAUUACACUGAAGGGAUGAAUGCCGUGUUCUGCUACUUCCCUUCCCAGGAGACCUCAAUGGCUGCCCUGUUCCCCCUAGCUCCAUCUAAUCUCCACAGCCUGGCAUUCAAGUUCAUGCCUGAGAUGAUUCCAAUCUCUAACCUCAGGUAAAGCCAUUUACCCUGGUACGCCAGGCAUCCCUCACCGCGGGCAAGCAGGACUACUGAGUGGAUGGCUCUUGGUUCUAUGGGCUGGAUGAAUUCGUUUGCUGGGGGAAUGCUAGUCUUAGCUUCAGGAGAGCUACAGGAUGAGACAGCCGAAGGACUGCACGGCCAGGAGGGGCCUUUGCAGACACUCUGAUCAGAGGUGGGAAACGAACACUGCAUUCUGGAGCGGACCUGAAGACCAGAGGUGGUAGUGGCUGGGGAGACAGCCCUUGGGGAUGCUACCCCAUUCAGCCAAAGGGCAUGGACUGACUGCGUUCCUAACACACUCUGUUCAUGAGUUCAUCCUCACCCAGAGAAGGCGACCACAAAAACUGUUAUCCUGAUGGUCCAGGACAAACAAGAUAAGAACUAAGCUAAUGUUUUUUUGAGCAUCAAACUAUUGAACUUAAGGCUGCUCCUGGCACCACCAUUACCUGAAGCAGGGAAGGUCCUACCCUGUGCUCCCAGUUUGCCCUCUAUUGACCUCUCCCGCCCAAGUCACGUUGUGUUGUCACUGAUUUCCAUGUCAGUCUUUCUCAAGAGACCACGAACCUCUUGAGGACAUGUGAUUUUGCAAAUAUGGUGCCUUGACACAUGAAUAAAUGGAUGAAUGAAUGAACGCAUGCAUGCAUGAAUGAAUGAAGUUUAUGCAAAGUGCAUACACCUUUUUUUUUUUUUUUUUUUUUUUUUACCACCAGAUGGCAAAUAUUCUUUGGAAAGUCUAGCUGUAAACUGUCUCAGAUAGAGUCUGGUGAAAACUAAGUUUUUCAGCAAACUGGAUGAGUACCUCCAACAGCGUGAGAUUUUUCAGGGAUGCCCAUGCUUCCCAUCUCUUAGCAGAGAGAGGAGAAAGCACCAGAAUGGAAGUCAGGAGUUCUGGCAUAUGGAUCUAUGCUGUCAUUAGCAUUUGGGUGAGUCACAUUAUUAUUGUAUAGGCCUCGAUUUUCUCAUUUCAAAAAAUCCUGUGGCCUGUGGUCAGUCAACAUGUGUAAGCAUCUACACUAUCCCAGACCCUGACUCAGGUGCUGGGGGUAAAGAAAUGGCUCAGGGAGAGCUUCUAGAACAAUGCUUCUCAACUCUGUAGUGAAAGACCAGCUUGUUGCUAUUGUUUUUAAACCAUGUCAUCUGUUGCAGACUGUAUUUUGGUAAAAUUAAAAUGUAAUAGUAAGAGAAGUAAAUAAAAGCAUAUCAAAUCCAA